AUACGGAGGAUCCGAGCGUUAUCCGGAUUUAUUGGGUUUAAAGGGUGCUCAGGCGGGGGAUUAAGUCGGCGGUGAAAUUUUGCGGCUCAACCGUAAAAGUGCCUUCGAAACUGGUUUCCUUGAGUGUGGAUGAGGUAGGCGGAAUUUGUGGUGUAGCGGUGAAAUGCAUCGAUAUCACGAGGAACUCCGAUUGCGCAGGCAGCUUACCAGGCCAUAACUGACGCUCAAGCACGAAGGCGUGGGGAUCAAACAGGAUUAGAUACCCUGGUAGUCCACGCAGUAAACGAUGAUUACUAGCUGUUUGCGAUACAAUGUAAGCGGCUGAGCGAAAGCGUUAAGUAAUCCACCUGGGGAGUACGUUCGCAAGAAUGAAACUCAAAGGAAUUGACGGGG
RNAcentral lists this ribosomal RNA (393 nucleotides) under uncultured bacterium. RNAcentral describes it as "partial 16S ribosomal RNA". It matches the Rfam family "Bacterial small subunit ribosomal RNA", at positions 523 to 918 of the family's 1533-position model. The record is from RNAcentral.